Molecule: transfer RNA, 76 nt
Filed under: Patescibacteria group bacterium
Lineage: Bacteria
Description: tRNA-OTHER
Rfam family: tRNA
About the family: Transfer RNA (tRNA) molecules are approximately 80 nucleotides in length. Their secondary structure includes four short double-helical elements and three loops (D, anti-codon, and T loops).
Source: RNAcentral
GGGCCGGUGGGGGUAACGGUAACCCCGGUUGCGUUGGUACCAACAGAUACGGGUUCAAGUCCCGUCCGGUCCACCA